This 2597-nucleotide long non-coding RNA is filed under the name Malus domestica (apple). RNAcentral describes it as "long non-coding RNA (MDOM_LNC012665)". The record is from RNAcentral. Lineage: Eukaryota; Viridiplantae; Streptophyta; Magnoliopsida; Rosales; Rosaceae.
CUUAGGGUACCUUCCAACACAAUGAUGAGGAUUUGGUUUUUAAUUGCAUGAAUGUUAAAGAGAGUUAUAAACAUGGAUGAAAAUUUGAUUUACUCUUUGGUGUAUGCUUGGUUGUGGUUAUAAUUUAUGAAUUCACAUGCAAUCAUAACGGAAAAAUCAGUUUUGUAACAUGCUUGAAAGAAGGAACUCAAAUGUAUGCUACAACCUUGUGAGACUUGAGCCUAAACGUUUAUUUGGAGAGUUAAUAAUCUGUGCAUCAUUGUUUUCUAAAGUCGUUGCAUGAUCUCAUUAUUCUUUGCUUGGUUGCUACUUAGAAGGCGUUUCAUCAGUUAGUUCCAAAUGCUAGAACUCAUGCCUAUUUCGUUCAGAGCAUGUUAUUGAUUUGCAUAAUACAUAUUCAAGAUGAAGUUGUGGAGUGACCACCACAGCCAGAUUGCCGUGCCCUAUUUCAUUAUGUGUUUAAGUUUAACCCCGUUGAGCCUUGUGUAGCCUAUGUUCUUUGUUAACCCACAAUAUCCUCACCUAGCCUAGAUUAGGACCAUCCAUACCCUUGUUCUUGAAGCAUAGUAAAACAUAAUUUAGAAGGAAUUCCUUUUGUUGAACUUUUGCAGAAAAACAAGUGUGGGGGAAGUGAUUCUUGUGUGUGUGUGUGUGCCAAAGUCCUUAAUAAGGCACGGGUAGAAACGAAAAAGAAAAAAAAAACAUUCGUGGAAAAUAGAAUGAAAAGAAGAAAGUUGUGAAAAAGAGCCCUAAGUGUUGCAUGAAUCUUUCCUUUGUAUUUAAAUGUUGAUUCUGCAUUCUAAAGUGAAUUCCAAAGUGUCUAUUUCAUUGCUUUGCUUGAUAUCGCUUUAAGAACAUUUGUUAUUCCUAUCCUUUCUUUAUUAGCCAAUACCCCAAGCCCCGUUACAACCCUUGACUUCUAUCUUGAGUGUUAUGUGUUUCAAUUUGUCGAGUUUGAAAUUGGUAUGAGCAUAUGGUGUCACUGAGUCUCGCAUCUAAGUAGUAGCGUUCCAUUCAUGAGAUCAUAUCUAAACAUGCUGAAUAACUCCAGAAAAUUGCCCUCUUUGUUAUACAUAUAUGUGAGUGUUCGUUUUCAUGUUUACAUCAAUCUUCUCAUAUAUAACUGGUGUAGGGUGUGUAGUCAGAAAAUGUGUGUGAAAAUAGAGAAUAUCUUGUAAGGAAUUGAGUAAAUUCUCUAAGGCAUGUUACUAAAUUCAAAACAUCGUUUUAAUUGGUUGAAUGUGAACUAGUAAGUGGUGACUGUGAUUAAGUAUGUGCUCAAGUGUUAAGUUGACUAAAAUCUGUGGGAAUGAUGAUUUUUAACUUGUCAUGUGUGUUGGAAAUCCCUGAGGCAAACGUUGGAAGGUUUAGGUUGUGUUUUGUUUUCUUUAUUUUGCUUGAGGACUAGCAAAAGCUAAGUGUGGGGGUAUUUAAUAAGCUCAUAUUUAUAUAUAUUUUACAUAAAAUUCACUUGUCUUUUCUUAGUUAGUUCCUUAUACUUUUGAGCUAUUUACUAUGUUUUUGUGUUUUGUGUGAUUUAUCAAGCAAAGAAAAGAAAAGUAGCACAAGUGAGAUAUUAAGUAACAAAUUCAAAACUGCCUGUGCAGAUUAGAUGACUUCGGAAGCAUGUUACGAACAGCUCAGAAUGAAUGAGCAAAUGAGCCUUAUAUUCUUGGAAAGAUACGGAUGUCUAUUUUCUGUAGCAAUUCACGGAUUGUUAAUAUCAUUUUUCUAGAAGAAGUUAUGGGCAUUGUAACACUGAAAGGUUCAGAAAAGGGCUAAGCAGAUUUGGCUAAUAAAAUGAGAAAGUAAAGGCACUUGUUUGUGUUUUGCUUUGUCAUCAACACUCAGCAGAAAAUGGGGUUAUGAUUGCACUCAUUUGUCUUUGGAGCAAGUGGAAAUGCACAGCUAGAAAGAGAAGGCAUGGCACUUGCAAAAGAGAAACAUGGACAGCUACACACAUGCAAACUGCAAAGCAUGGAGGGCUUGGCAUGGGCAGAAAAUGGGUCGAUUGUUGGCUGAAAUAAUGAAGAACAUGUGUGUGCAAAUGCAAAGGAAAGACACACACAUGAGCAGAAAAUGGGUUUAUUUGUGGUUGAAAUGAUGAAGAAUAUGUGUGUAAAUGUAAAGGAGAAACAUGGCAGAAAAUGUGUUUGUUUUGUGGCUGAAAUGAUGGAGGUCAUGUGUGGGAAAAUGUAAAGGGAAACAUGGACAUCACACACCCAUACAAACUGCACAUGCAAGGAAUUGAAAUGGUCCUCUCCUUAUCCUAUACAUACAUCCACCAUUCCCCUUCCUAAGGACAAUCUUGAUCCAUCAAAAGAGCUUCAUUCACAAACACAAUUUCCUUGCCGUGACCUCCAUCCAUUCAUCUAGCCAUACUACAUCUCACCAAUCCAUACACUUUCAUCUCUUAGCCGUGCAAAUCCAUUCCAUCCAUAUAUUCAUACACAUCCUAGACACUUGUGCUACAACAAGGUGGUGAAAACAAAGGUCCUUGGCAUUUCAAGCUUGGAACUUUGGAGUUUUAGGUGUAAACAAAGGUCCUUGGCGUUUCAAGCUUGGAACUUUGGAGCGUUUUAGGUGUACUUCGUUCU